RNAcentral lists this non-coding RNA (177 nucleotides) under Clostridium oryzae. Its description in RNAcentral is "T-box sequence". It matches the Rfam family "T-box leader". Rfam says of the family: Uncharged tRNA acts as the effector for transcription antitermination of genes in the T-box leader family. T-boxes are found upstream of many aminoacyl-tRNA synthetase genes and some amino acid biosynthetic genes usually in Gram-positive bacteria. The record is from RNAcentral. Lineage: Bacteria; Bacillati; Bacillota; Clostridia; Eubacteriales; Clostridiaceae.
UAGUUAGCGAUGAUUAGGAUUAGUAAACGAAGGUAGUUAUAUAGAGAGAAAAUGGCUGGUGAAAAUUUUCUGACGAUAUCGUUGAAGCUGUCUAUGAGCUGUAAUUACCAAAUGAGCUGCAAAGUUUAUAUACUUUGCAAUUAGGGUGGUACCGCGAAAAAUGCUUUCGUCCCUUUG